This 254-nucleotide ribosomal RNA is filed under the name uncultured bacterium. RNAcentral's name for it is "partial 16S ribosomal RNA". It matches the Rfam family "Bacterial small subunit ribosomal RNA", at positions 524 to 776 of the family's 1533-position model. The record is from RNAcentral.
UACGUAGGGGGCAAGCGUUGUCCGGAUUUAUUGGGCGUAAAGAGCUCGUAGGCGGUUCGACAAGUCGGAUGUGAAAUCUCCACGCUCAACGUGGAGGGGCCAUUCGAAACUGUCGUGACUUGAGUCCGGUAGGGGAGUGUGGAAUUCCCGGUGUAGCGGUGGAAUGCGCAGAUAUCAGGAGGAACACCAAUAGCGAAGGCAGCUCGCUGGGACGGUACUGACGCUGAGGCGCGAAAGCGUGGGGAGCGAACAGG